ACACUUAAAAAAAUUUAGGAUUAUUUGAUUUUUAUGUAACACUUUUGUAACAUUGUCGUAUUAAGUAACAUUUUUUGUAACACUUUAGUAUUAUGUAACACUUUAUGGUAACACUUUGAUAUUAGGUAUCACUUAGUUGCAACACUUAAUUUGAUGUUACUCGAAUCCUUUUUUUUCUAAUUAAAUAUUUAUUUUCUUCUAAUCUCAUUGCAGAAAAAAUUGAUCGGUGCCUUUUAUUUUAAUUUUUUUAUUUUUCAUUCUAGUCUAUCCCCUCCUCUCAUUCUUGUUCAAAUAUCUAUUCUCUCUGAAUUAGUUUAUAUUCUUUAAUCCAUCGAGUCACCCUCAUUACUAUCCUCUGAAUCAUCAUCAUCAUCAUCAGUACCAUCAUCUAAAUCACAAUCAACAUCAUCAAAUGAAUCGAGAGUGAAGGAAUCACAACAUAUGGUACUACUAUGGUGUUCAUUACUUAAUGAUUACAUUAAGGUUUAUGUUCAUCUGCAUAAUUUCUCUCACCUAUACGUUCGGCUUCUUCGCUUUACUCUUCUCCAGUCUUUCAAUUCCUCCUAUUUCUGUUCCUUCUCAAUGAAAAAUCGUUUCCACCAAAGGGAGGAAAUGUACCAGAAGCACAAGUGUCUCAUCAUAAAGACAGGAAGGGACAUCCAAACCAUUAACGAAUAAAACUAGCAAAGCUGAAAGGCGCACUUUACAAGAGGUCACAAAGGUGCCAAAUCUACAUAAAAGGUGCUGAGGUUCUCUUUUUGUCCUCAAGGUACUCGAAUUUUCAGUCAGGUGCUCUUUCUUUGUUCCUGUCUCUAUCAUUUUUUCUUUUUUGGCUAAUAUUGAAAUCAAUGUAGAAAAUACAAUAAUGCCUUGGAAUCUUAGGGUGGUUGGCUUUUAUGUCCUAGUUUUGAAUCUUAUUUGUACCCUUUCUACUAUGAUUCUACCAUGAUAAUUCUGUUUUAAUAUCUAUUAUGCAAAUUUUCAUGUAAAAAUCUGCCUAUUGUGUAUAUAACUCAAGACUCUCAGCCUAUUUCCCACCACUGUCACCAUUUCUUCCCCUCUCAACAUUCAGUCUUCUAUAUUGAGCUACAAGAAUAAUGGAAUUCAGAACUGAAAUCAGAACUGAAUUCAUAGAUGAAUUUUAGAACUAAAAUCCAAACCUAAAAUCAGAUAUAAGAUUUAGAACUGAAUUCAGAGCUGAAUUUCAGAACUAAAAUCAAAGCUGGAAUUCAGAACUAAAUUUAGAGUUGAAUUUAGAGUUGAAAUUCAAAACUUAAUUCAAAACUAAAUCAGUGCUGAAAUUCAAAACUAAAAUCAAAGCUGAAAUUCAGACAUGAAAUCAGAGUUUAAAUUCAUGACUGAAUUCAGAGCUGAAUUCGGAACUGAAAUCUGCAAAGGGGAGUUUGUGUGUCGUAUCAGCUUAAUUUAUUAUAUGUGUAGUGAGAAUAAUGAUAUCUUUUACUUAGAUGCAUAUAUUAAAUACUCUGAUAGGUGUCUGACACUACAAAAACCUGUUUAUCAUCAAUGAUGUCCGCGGACUAACUAUCUUGUAUGUUCUUUGUAAGAAGCAAGAUCAAGAUGGUAGAUUAUGAGAAAUCUAGACAAACAAGGAUAGUACAAAAUAGAAGCAACCGGUGAUAUGUUCACUAAAGGGAAAGAGCAACAAACCAACAAUUCUCGAUGAGUUCUUAAAUCCAUAUAAAGACUAAAUUGUGAAAGAAGCUGUAGCAGAAUUAAUGAAGAAACUCAAGCAAAUUGAUCCGGAAGUGUUGGAUACUUUGACUCUAUUACUUGAAAAUGCGUCAUCCAAUCUAGAACUUACAGAUCAAAUUCCCAUUGUACACUAUUGAAUAACAACGAAACGAGGAUCAAUUGGAUCAAGAUGAAGAAUUGGGAUAGCAAUUUAUGAUGCUACAAGAACUUACUUUUACCGAUGUUUUGUUGCUGCUACCACUAUUUUGCUGUUGUUUUUAGCUAUUUUGCUGUUGUUUUUAGCUAUUUUGCUGUUGUCUUUUGCUGACACUACUGCUACUAUUGUCUGAUCUGUUGCUGACUCUUGCUCAUUUGGUUUGCUGGCAUUGCUAUGCUACUGCUAGUUGCUGCCAACUGAUGUUUGCUACUGCUAGAAGCUUCCACUACUAUCUUCUAUUGUUGGUUGCUGCUAAAGACUACUGAUGGCAGCAUCUAUUACUGCUUCUUCCGUUCUACUAGCUAGUUGUCUAGCUACUGUUUUACUCUAUUAUUAUUAAUGCUCUUUACUGUAAUUGGUGUCUUUUUUUGAAAUUUGGAAGAUUUUUGUUUUUCCUUACUAUUUCCAAGAUAGAUAUCGAAUGUUAAUAUUCUUUGUGUUUGGAUUAUUAUAUUUUUUGGCCAAAAACAUUAAAAUUGGUGUUUAUAGAUUUUUUUCGUGAGAAUUAUGAAAAAAUUUCAAUCCAAGCUGUUUUCUAUCAUAUGUGUUGAUUUCUUAUUCAUAUAGUUGUUGUACAUAUGAUUUUUUUUUCUUAUAUUUGUUGGAGGGAACGACGAGGCCCUCAGACCUGCUGAUGUGUUACUUUAUUCUUGGGAUCGUGGUCGCUAUGUCUGUGUAGAUUUGACAGGAUCUUCUCCUUUG
Molecule: long non-coding RNA, 2611 nt
Organism: Chenopodium quinoa (quinoa)
Lineage: Eukaryota; Viridiplantae; Streptophyta; Magnoliopsida; Caryophyllales; Amaranthaceae
Exons: 4
Source: RefSeq, a predicted model, not a curated record